Molecule: ribosomal RNA, 502 nt
Filed under: uncultured bacterium
Lineage: Bacteria
Description: partial 16S ribosomal RNA
Rfam family: Bacterial small subunit ribosomal RNA
Source: RNAcentral
AUUGAACGCUGGCGGCAUGCCUUACACAUGCAAGUCGAACGGCAGCAUAGGAGCUUGCUCCUGAUGGCGAGUGGCGAACGGGUGAGUAAUAUAUCGGAACGUGCCCUAGAGUGAGGGAUAGCUAGUCGAAAGAUUAGCUAAUACCGCAUACGAUCUACGGAUGAAAGUGGGGGAUCGCAAGACCUCAUGCUCCUGGCGCGGCCGAUAUCUGAUUAGCUAGUUGGUGGGGGAAAAGCCUACCAAGGCGACGAUCAGUAGCUGGUCUGAGAGGACGACCAGCCACACUGGGACUGAGACACGGCCCAGACUCCUACGGGAGGCAGCAGUGGGGAAUUUUGGACAAUGGGGGCAACCCUGAUCCAGCAAUGCCGCGUGAGUGAAGAAGGCCUUCGGGUUGUGAAGCUCUUUUGUCAGGGAAGAAACGGUUCUGGAUAAUACCCAGAGCUAAUGACGGUACCUGAAGAAUAAGCACCGGCUAACUACGUGCCAGCAGCCGCCGUAA